Molecule: ribosomal RNA, 1056 nt
Filed under: Triticum aestivum (bread wheat)
Lineage: Eukaryota; Viridiplantae; Streptophyta; Magnoliopsida; Poales; Poaceae
Description: partial small subunit ribosomal RNA
Source: RNAcentral
AUGGACCUAAUACUUCCGUUUAAAGUUGGAGAUGCCGUAGAGAUAAGAUCCUAUAAUGUUGGUUAUAGGGGUGCAUGGUUCCGGUGCAAGGUACAACUUGCAAUUUCUUUAACCUUGCUUGUUCAUAUCACCGAUAUGUGUAUCAGGAGUGGUCACAUGGAGUGUCAGGUGGAGUAUAUAGACUAUCCAGAUGAAAGAAGGAAAUGGAAUAGACUCUACAAAAUUCCCCCAAAAUGCCGUAAUCAGAAAGCAAGUCAGAAUAGGGAGAUCAUGCUACGACCUCCUUUUCCUCAGUGGUGUUGGGAGAAUGAUAUUUGUGAGCAUGGGCAACAAAUGGAUGUUGUAGCAGUUGUAAGCAGUCCUUGGAAAGUAGGUGACUUGAUUGAUUGGUGGUACACUGAUUGUUUCUGGACCGGGAAAAUUAUCGAGUUGCUGGAUGAUGACAAAGUUAAGAUAAUUUGUCCUGAAAUACCAUUAGGUGAAGGUGGAUGUUGGGUUGCCCAUCCCAAGGACCUGAGGCCAGCGCUUGAUUGGUCCCUUGAAAAAGGUUGGAGCGCCCCUCUUUCACAGGAAAACGGCAAAUGCUGGCAUACUGCUCGUUUGAUUGCAGGGAACCAAGAUACAUUAAGUAGCAGCUCUGAUGAGGAUGACAUUGAGCAAUCUUGUGAUGGUAACAAGGUACUACAAAAAUGCUUGAAUGGAUCAUUUGAUUCAUCGGAGCAAGAAAUAGGAAAAUGCCUGAAUGGAGCAUCUGAUACACCAAAGGAGUUGGUGGAUCCAGAUGUAAUACAUCCAGCCAAUACAAAUGGCAGGUGCUGCAUGGAAAGUCAAACAGAUAGUGAAGGGGAACCACAAAAAUACAUGAAUGAAGAGCCUGGCGUGUCUCUGGAGGCCAUCUGUUCAAAAGUGCAACUCGCACCCAAUGAAACUGGUGAAUGUUGCAUGAACAGCCAAGCAGACUGUCCGACGUCUCCUUUGGCCAAUUCAGGACAGUCUCCUCAGUUCAUUACCAAUGAGCAAUCAAGAAAGACCAACUUUCUCUGCAUGAUCAGAUGA